RNAcentral lists this ribosomal RNA (216 nucleotides) under Glomeromycotina sp. RNAcentral's name for it is "partial small subunit ribosomal RNA". The stretch from base 40 to 216 matches the Rfam family "Eukaryotic small subunit ribosomal RNA", at positions 686 to 864 of the family's 1831-position model. The record is from RNAcentral. Lineage: Eukaryota; Fungi; Glomeromycota.
GGGUCAGGAGGUUGGUCGUGCCACCGGUACGUACUGGUCUCACUGAUUCCUCCUUCCUGAAGAACCGUAAUGCCAUUAAUUUGGUGUUGCGGGGAAACAGGACUGUUACUUUGAAAAAAUUAGAGUGUUUAAAGCAAGCUAAUGCUUGAAUACAUUAGCAUGGAAUAAUGAAAUAGGACGAUCGAUCCUAUUUUGUUGGUUUCUAGGAUUGACGUA